CAUUCACGGAGAGUUUGAUCCUGGCUCAGGACGAACGCUGGCGGCGUGCUUAACACAUGCAAGUCGAACGAUGAAGCCCUUCGGGGUGGAUUAGUGGCGAACGGGUGAGUAACACGUGGGCAAUCUGCCCUGCACUCUGGGACAAUCCCUGGAAACGGGGUCUAAUACCGGAUAACACU
Molecule: ribosomal RNA, 179 nt
Rfam family: Bacterial small subunit ribosomal RNA